This 535-nucleotide ribosomal RNA is filed under the name Allonemobius fasciatus. RNAcentral describes it as "eukaryotic LSU rRNA". It matches the Rfam family "Eukaryotic large subunit ribosomal RNA", at positions 1457 to 1948 of the family's 3401-position model. Lineage: Eukaryota; Metazoa; Arthropoda; Insecta; Orthoptera; Trigonidiidae. The record is from RNAcentral.
GUAGUAGCAAAUACUCUAGCGAGACCCUGGAGGACUGAUGUGGAGAAGGGUUUCGUGUGAACAGCCGUUGCACACGAGUCAGUCGAUCCUAACCCCUAGGAGAAAUCCAAAGUAUGGGGCGGUUAGCAGCCCCGUCGGGGGAAAGGGAAUCCGGUCCCCAUUCCGGAACCCGGUAGCGGAACCGUCUCACGUCGGGUUCCUCGCCUACGGGCGGGGAGUUCGUCGGGGUAACCCAAACGGACCCGGAGAAGCCGUCGGGAGGUCGGGGAAGAGUUGUCUUUUCUGUUUGAGCGCUCGGGUUCCCUGGAAUUCUCUAGCAGAGAGAGAGGGAAUGGAGCGCGUAGAGCACCGCAGUUGCGGCGGUGUCCCGACAUGCCCCUCGGACCUUGAAAAUCCGGGGAAGGGCCACGUGGAGGUGUCGCACCGGAUCGUACCCAUAUCCGCAGCAGGUCUCCAAGGUGAAGAGCCUCUAGUCGAUAGAUUAAUGUAGGUAAGGGAAGUCGGCAAAUCGGAUCCGUAACUUCGGGAUAAGGAU